GUGAGGAAUAUUGCGCAAUGGAGGCAACUCUGACGCAGCCAUGCCGCGUGCAGGAAGAAGGCGCUACGCGUUGUAAACUGCUUUUAACCGGGAAGAAACCACAGGACGUGUCCUGGGUUGACGGUACCGGAGGAAUAAGCACCGGCUAACUUCGUGCCAGCAGCCGCGGUAAUACGAAGGGUGCAAGCGUUAUCCGGAUUCAUUGGGUUUAAAGGGUGCGUAGGCGGAGCGUUAAGUCAGUGGUGAAAUCCUGCAGCUUAACUGUAGACUUGCCAUUGAUACUGGCGCUCUUGAGUGCGCUUGAAGUGGGCGGAAUGUGCCGUGUAGCGGUGAAAUGCUUAGAUAUGGCACAGAACACCAAUUGCGAAGGCAGCUCACUAAGGCGAUACUGACGCUGAGGCACGAAAGCGUGGGGAUCGAACAGGAUUAGAUACCCCGGUAGUCC
This 445-nucleotide ribosomal RNA is filed under the name uncultured bacterium. RNAcentral describes it as "partial 16S ribosomal RNA". It matches the Rfam family "Bacterial small subunit ribosomal RNA", at positions 354 to 796 of the family's 1533-position model. The record is from RNAcentral.